GAAGGUAAAUGAUUAAUCAAACAAAGACAGCUACAGACCCAGGACCUGCUGGCUGGAAGGGGAGAGGACAACAAACUGAUCAACCUCUUAUAAAGCCUAGUAAUCAGGGAUGAACCAGGUGUAGCCCAUCUAAUGGCCACACCCCUGCCACUCUGUCUCGCGUGAAGAACAAAAAGGGAAAAAGGCACAAGAUCCCCAGAGGAUGAAUUCUAAUGACUCUGGUAAUCCCCUGACAUUUCCUUUAGCGCCACCGUCUGUUCACAAUUCAGGCACAGACGCCGAAGCUUGGUAUGCAAAAUAAACCUAGCGAGGACACAUCUGGGAGAGAGUCAUAGUUUGGUCCAUGGAGUCCGCCUGGAAAGCACCGAUUUCAGUGAUAUUUCAGGCUGACUGUGGAGCAGUUUGAUCGGUCUGAUCACCGGAUUUGCCACAGCAGCAGGACAUUGGGUUGCGUUUCUCCAAAGGUUGCUUCUGUUUCAGCUUUUUCACCGCAGGAAGCCCCCACCACCAGGGCCUAAACACACUUCCCCCUACUCAAAUGGAUGGGAGGACUGGCGUUUUCGCUGCAGAGCCCAAUUUGGCAAAGACAAUGCCUCAGAGGUUCUCACAAUGUGCCCAUCGUCGAUGACAAAGUCUUGGAGUUGCACUUUGCAGUCGCCCAUACCUACCACAGGUUCCUGCAGACCUGCCUUGACUGUUUGAUCAUGUACACCUACACAAAAGAGAAUGACUUCCAAGCAUUGUACUUAUUUGGGAAGAACACGACACUGACAGCCUCUGACUUGGAGACCUUCAGGAAACAAGCUGCAUGCCUCAAGUUUCCCCUGCCGGCAAAGUUUCACUACGACACCAGCAAAGAGCUGUGUCCCAUGUAG
RNAcentral lists this long non-coding RNA (875 nucleotides) under Dicentrarchus labrax (European seabass). RNAcentral describes it as "lncRNA (ENSDLAG00005034140.1)". The record is from RNAcentral. Lineage: Eukaryota; Metazoa; Chordata; Actinopteri; Moronidae.